UGGGCUGGCCGGGCGACCGCGGCGCACCUCCGGGUGCGACGAGGAAGGUCCGGGCUCCACAGGGCAGGGUGGUGGGUAACACCCACCCGGGGUGACCCGCGGGACAGUGCCACAGAAAACAGACCGCCUCCCGGCUCCGGCCGGGCGGCAAGGGUGAAACGGUGGUGCAAGAGACCACCAGCGACCCGGGCGACCGGGUCGGCUCGGUAAACCCCACCCGGAGCAAGGUCAAGAAGUCGUGGGUCCGCCCGCGAUGCGUGCACGUUCGAGGGCUGCCCGCCCGAGUGCACGGGUAGACCGCUGGAGGGCGUCGGCAACGGCGCUCGUAGAUGGAUGGUCGCCCCCCGACGCCCCGCGAGGGGCCCGGGGACAGAACCCGGCCUACAGGCCAGCCCGUCCG
RNAcentral lists this RNase P RNA (400 nucleotides) under Nocardioides deserti. RNAcentral describes it as "RNase P RNA component class A". It matches the Rfam family "Bacterial RNase P class A". From Rfam's summary of the family: Ribonuclease P (RNase P) is a ubiquitous endoribonuclease, found in archaea, bacteria and eukarya as well as chloroplasts and mitochondria. Its best characterised activity is the generation of mature 5'-ends of tRNAs by cleaving the 5'-leader elements of precursor-tRNAs. Cellular RNase Ps are ribonucleoproteins. The record is from RNAcentral. Lineage: Bacteria; Bacillati; Actinomycetota; Actinomycetes; Propionibacteriales; Nocardioidaceae.